RNAcentral lists this ribosomal RNA (468 nucleotides) under uncultured bacterium. RNAcentral's name for it is "partial 16S ribosomal RNA". It matches the Rfam family "Bacterial small subunit ribosomal RNA", at positions 28 to 507 of the family's 1533-position model. The record is from RNAcentral.
GACGAACGCUGGCGGCGUGCUUAACACAUGCAAGUCGAACGGAAAGGCCCUGCUUUUGUGGGGUGCUCGAGUGGCGAACGGGUGAGUAACACGUGAGUAACCUGCCCUUGACUUUGGGAUAACUUCAGGCAACUGGGGCUAAUACCGGCUAGGAGCUCCUGCUGCAUGGUGUGGGUUGGAAAGUUUCGGCGGUUGGGGAUGGACUCGCGGCUUAUCAGCUUGUUGGUGGGGUAGUGGCUUACCAAGGCUUUGACGGGUAGCCGGCCUGAGAGGGUGACCGGCCACAUUGGGACUGAGAUACGGGCCAGACACCUACGGGAUGCAGCAGUGGGGAAUAUUACGCAAUGGGCGGAAGCCUGAUGCAGCAACGCCGCGUGCGGGAUGAUGGCCUUCGGUUUGUAAACCGCUUUCGCGUAUGACGAAGCGUGGGUGACGGUAAUGGGUAAAGAAGCACCGGCUAACUACGUG